UACAGAGGGUGCGAGCGUUAAUCGGAAUUACUGGACAUAAAGCGUGCGUAGACGGUUAUUUAAGUCGGAUGUGAAAGCCCCGGGCUCAACCUGGGAAUUGCAUUCGAGACUGAAUAGCUAGGGUGCGGUAGAGGGAAGCGGAAUUUCCGGUGUAGCGGUGAAAUGCGUAGAUAUCGGAAGGAACAUCAGUGGCGAAAGCGGCUUCCUGGACCAGCACCGACGUUCAGGCACGAAAGCGUGGGGAGCAAACAGG
Molecule: ribosomal RNA, 253 nt
Filed under: uncultured bacterium
Lineage: Bacteria
Description: partial 16S ribosomal RNA
Rfam family: Bacterial small subunit ribosomal RNA
Source: RNAcentral